UGGGGUGUCGGCAAGCGGUUAAGCCAACGGGUUUUGGACCCGUCACUCGGAGGUUCGAAUCCUCCCACCCCAG
RNAcentral lists this transfer RNA (73 nucleotides) under Candidatus Zixiibacteriota bacterium. RNAcentral's name for it is "tRNA-Gln". It matches the Rfam family "tRNA". Rfam says of the family: Transfer RNA (tRNA) molecules are approximately 80 nucleotides in length. Their secondary structure includes four short double-helical elements and three loops (D, anti-codon, and T loops). The record is from RNAcentral. Lineage: Bacteria; Pseudomonadati; Candidatus Zixiibacteriota.